UGGGGAAUAUUGGACAAUGGGCGAAAGCCUGAUCCAGCCAUGCCGCGUGUGUGAAGAAGGCCUUUUGGUUGUAAAGCACUUUAAGCGAGGAGGAUGCUACCGAGAUUAAUACUCUUGGAUAGUGGACGUUACUCGCAGAAUAAGCACCGGCUAACUCUGUGCCAGCAGCCGCGGUAAUACAGAGGGUGCGAGCGUUAAUCGGAUUUACUGGGCGUAAAGCGUGCGUAGGCGGCUUUUUAAGUCGGAUGUGAAAUCCCUGAGCUUAACUUAGGAAUUGCAUUCGAUACUGGGAAGCUAGAGUAUGGGAGAGGAUGGUAGAAUUCCAGGUGUAGCGGUGAAAUGCGUAGAGAUCUGGAGGAAUACCGAUGGCGAAGGCAGCCAUCUGGCCUAAUACUGACGCUGAGGUACGAAAGCAUGGGGAGCAAACAGG
RNAcentral lists this ribosomal RNA (430 nucleotides) under bacterium. RNAcentral's name for it is "partial 16S ribosomal RNA". It matches the Rfam family "Bacterial small subunit ribosomal RNA", at positions 355 to 776 of the family's 1533-position model. The record is from RNAcentral.